AUGGCAGAGCUGACGGUGGAGGUUCGCGGCUCCAACGGGGCUUUCUACAAGGGAUUUAUCAAAGAUGUUCAUGAAGACUCCCUCACAGUUGUUUUUGAGAACAACUGGCAGCCAGAACGCCAGGUUCCAUUUAAUGAAGUUAGAUUACCACCACCACCUGACAUAAAAAAAGAAAUUAGUGAAGGAGAUGAAGUAGAGGUAUAUUCAAGAGCAAAUGACCAAGAACCCUGUGGAUGGUGGUUGGCUAAAGUUCGAAUGAUGAAAGGAGAAUUUUAUGUCAUUGAAUAUGCUGCUCGUGAUGCCACUUACAAUGAAAUAGUCACAUUUGAACGACUUCAGCCUGUCAAUCAAAAUAAAACUGUCAAAAAAAAAUACCUUCUUUAAAUGCACAGUGGAUGUUCCUGAGGAUUUGAGAGAGGCGUGUGCUAAUGAAAAUGCACAUAAAGAUUUUAAGAAAGCAGUAGGAGCAUGCAGAAUUUUUUACCAUCCAGAAACCACACAGCUAAUGAUAUUGUCUGCCAGCGAAGCAACUGUGAAGAGAGUAAAUAUUUUAAGUGAAAUGCAUUUGCGAAGUAUUCGUACAAAGUUGAUGCUUAUGUCCAGAAAUGAAGAGGCCACUAAGCAUUUAGAAUGCACAAAACAACUUGCAGCAGCUUUUCAUGAGGAAUUUGUUGUGAGAGAAGAUUUGAUGGGCCUGGCAAUAGGAACACAUGGUAGUAACAUACAGCAAGCUAGGAAGGUUCCUGGAGUUACAGCUAUUGAGCUAGAUGAAGAUACUGGAACAUUUAGAAUCUAUGGAGAGAGUGCUGAUGCUGUAAAAAAGGCUAGAGGUUUCUUGGAAUUUGUUGAGGAUUUUAUUCAGGUUCCUAGGAAUCUUGUUGGAAAAGUAAUUGGAAAAAAUGGCAAAGUUAUUCAGGAAAUAAUGGACAAAUCUGGUGUGGUUCGGGUGAGAAUUGAAGGAGACAAUGAAAAUAAACUACCUAGAGAAGAUGGUAUGGUUCCAUUUGUAUUUGUUGGCACUAAAGAAAGCAUCGGAAAUGUGCAAGUUCUUUUAGAGUAUCAUAUUGCUUAUUUGAAGGAAGUAGAACAGCUAAGAAUGGAACGCCUACAGAUUGAUGAACAGCUACGGCAGAUUGGUUCUAGGUCUUAUAGUGGAAGAGGCAGAGGUCGUCGGGGCCCUAAUUACACCUCCGGUUAUGGUACAAACUCUGAGCUGUCUAACCCCUCUGAAACAGAAUCUGAGCGUAAAGAUGAGCUGAGUGAUUGGUCAUUGGCAGGAGAAGAUGAUCGGGAGAGCCGACAUCAGCGUGACAGCAGGAGACGCCCAGGAGGAAGAGGGAGAAGUGUUUCAGGGGGUCGAGGUCGUGGUGGACCACGUGGUGGCAAAUCCUCCAUCAGUUCUGUGCUCAAAGAUCCAGACAGCAAUCCAUACAGCUUACUUGAUAAUACAGAAUCUGAUCAGACUGCAGACACUGAUGCCGGCGAAUCUCAUCACAGUACUAACCGUCGUAGGCGGUCUCGUAGAAGAAGGACUGAUGAAGAUGCUGUUCUGAUGGAUGGGAUGACUGAAUCUGAUACAGCUUCAGUUAAUGAAAAUGGGCUAGUCACAGUUGCAGAUUAUAUUUCUAGAGCUGAGUCUCAGAGCAGACAAAGAAACCUCCCAAGGGAAACUUUGGCUAAAAACAAGAAAGAAAUGGCAAAAGAUGUGAUUGAAGAGCAUGGUCCUUCAGAAAAGGCAAUAAAUGGCCCAACUAGUGCUUCUGGCGAUGAAAUUUCUAAGCUACAGUGUACUCCAGGAGAAGAAAAGAUUAAUAUCUUAAAAGAAGAAAACACUCAAGAAGCAGCAGUCCUGAAUGGUGUUUCAUAAACUGAAGAAGUUCCUAGUUUACAGUUCUUUUACAUUACAUUUUACAAUAGUGCUUGUACAAGCUUGCCAAAGAUAGAAUAUGGAUCGCCAGUCUUUACAUCGCACUUUCAGUUCCUCCAUUUGGAAUUCAGAAAGGGGAGGGAUCCUGAAGAUAUCAUAUGUUAAACAUACUUUGACACCUACUGUGUUAUAAAAUAUAUCAUCAGAUGUGCCUUGAGAAUAGUAUAUGUAACAUUAAAAAAAAAGUUGCUGGCUAUAGGAAAUGUUAUUUUGUUUUCCAAAUAUGGCAGAGAUGGGGGGAGGUGGGAGGGAUGGGAUCCCUAACGUAAUAUUCUUUAUGAAAGCAUUAGCUGCUUUUGUUACAUUUUUAAUAAUAUGCAACCACUUCUUCACCUGAGGAAAACUAGAAUGAAAUGCAGUCUAAAAUAUUUUGCACUGAAUUGUAAUUUCUCCAUUAGUUUAGUCUGGAAACUGGUCUGUUUUAAUGUGUUUUUUAAAUGCUGUAUGUGGAGGAAAAUCUGCAGACCACUGGAAUACAUUUGUUAAAUUCUCAUCUGCAGGGACACUGGGUGUUAUCGGCAGUGAUUGUUCUACACUGAGGCUUUGUUUGGUUUAUUUAUUAAAGUGUACAGUAUUUAAAAAUCAAACAUAGCUUUAGUUAAAACACUAAGCUGAAUUAGUCAUGUCCAUUUCAGACAUAACCUGAACUACUGAAAAGAUCAAUUUCCAGGAGGUUUAUUCUGUAUAAAAGUACAUGUUAGUCUUCAGUAGAGAAUCUUUUCCUUUUUUCUCUUUUUCUUUACUUUCUCUCUCU
RNA transcript from Enhydra lutris kenyoni (northern sea otter), 2681 nucleotides. It is a transcript of the gene named fragile X mental retardation syndrome-related protein 1 pseudogene, with no coding region annotated. NCBI's taxonomy places the organism in Eukaryota, Metazoa, Chordata, Mammalia, Carnivora, Mustelidae. The transcript has a single exon. The record is from RefSeq and is a predicted model, not a curated record.